AACACAAAAUAUGCUCCGGAUAGUAAUUUAAUUAAAUUUUACGAAGAAGAAAAUAAAGAUGAUAACAAAUUAAAGAAUUUUACGUAUACCAUUUGUAAUAAUAGUGAAGUACAAGAAAAAGCUCGAUUAGUGUUUAUAACUUACGAACAUCCAUUAUACAGUCAUAAAAUUACACAUAAUUCUAUAACAAAAAAUUGUAAUUAUUAUUACAAACAAUAUAAAUGUUUUAUUUGGACUGAUGCACAAACAAAUAUAAAUGACUCAGUUAAAACUUCAAAUAUAUUAGAUCAAAUACCUAAUAUGAAAGUUAUAUAUUUAGGUACAACGAUCCCAAUUUGCUGUGCUUUAAAUAUAACGACCAAUAUAUAUUUUUUUUUCUAUAUAUAUAAAGAAAAUAAAAAUUCUGUUAAAACAAUAAACAAAUUAAAAAAACAUCAAUUUAUAUAUUUAUAUCAUAUUUUUUCUAUUAAUAGAAAUGAUUUUUUUUAUAAUAAUGUUUUAUAUAAUAACAUUACUUUUAAUACAGAUGUUCAUAAACCUAACAUUAUAUUGAGUAAUGGUAUGAAUGAACCUUUUUUUAUUAAGUUGAAAGUUAUUUUUUUGGACAUUCAUAAUAGGAUCUUAUUUUUAUUUCCAAUUUAUGAUUAUAAAAAAAAAUAUAAAAUAAAAAUUAUCCCAAAUGUAUUAUUUUAUAGUACAUUAAAAAUGGGAAAAAAUACGAUAUUACCAGAAAACUAUUGGUAUAGCAUAAUUAAUGUAAUAAAUAAAAAAACUAAUAAAGAUUAUCUAGAAAUUAAAACAAAAUAUAUAAAUAAAAAUAUUAGUGUUAUAAAUACAACACAAAACAAAAAAAAAAUCAGUAGAUUACUAAAAAAAAUGUUCAAUGAAUUUGAACAAUGCAUAAAUAAAAAAUAUGAAAUAAAUUCUUUUGAAGAAGAAAAUAAUAUUCAAAAUAAGAAAGAUAAUAUAGAGUAUAAGUAUUCCCCUUUAAAUAUGCACCCAUUAGAUUUGAAUGAAUUAUUAGUUAUAUUAAACAAAGAAAAUGGUAUACUACAAUUGUAUUCAGAUGAUAUAUACAUCUGUGAUCUAUCUUUUCCAAAUAGUGCUGAAAACAUAUUUAAUAUUAAUAAUAAUGAGAAAGAAAUAUUUACUAUAGAAUAUGAUAUAAAUAAAGUUAUAUUAAGGUCAUAUGAAUUAUCAUGUUUCAGUAUAGAUCAAUACAAUGAUACUAUAAAACUUAUAUUUUCUUGUAUUUAUAAUACAUGUGAACAAAAAAUACACAUUGAAUUUUUAAAAUUUAUUUUGAUGGAAUGUACUUACAAAGA
Molecule: long non-coding RNA, 1325 nt
Filed under: Piliocolobus tephrosceles (Ugandan red Colobus)
Lineage: Eukaryota; Metazoa; Chordata; Mammalia; Primates; Cercopithecidae
Description: lncRNA (ENSPTEG00000013876.1)
Source: RNAcentral